ACGCUGGCGGCAUGCCUAACACAUGCAAGUCGAACGAAGGCUUCGGCCUUAGUGGCGCACGGGUGCGUAACGCGUGGGAAUCUGCCCCUUGGUUCGGAAUAACAGUUGGAAACGACUGCUAAUACCGGAUGAUGACGUAAGUCCAAAGAUUUAUCGCCGAGGGAUGAGCCCGCGUAGGAUUAGGUAGUUGGUGUGGUAAAGGCGCACCAAGCCGACGAUCCUUAGCUGGUCUGAGAGGAUGAUCAGCCACACUGGGACUGAGACACGGCCCAGACUCCUACGGGAGGCAGCAGUGGGGAAUAUUGGACAAUGGGCGAAAGCCUGAUCCAGCAAUGCCGCGUGAGUGAUGAAGGCCUUAGGGUUGUAAAGCUCUUUUACCCGGGAUGAUAAUGACAGUACCGGGAGAAUAAGCUCCGGCUAACUCCGUGCCAGCAGCCGCGGUAAUACGGAGGGAGCUAGCGUUAUUCGGAAUUACUGGGCGUAAAGCGCACGUAGGCGGCUUUGUAAGUAAGAGGUGAAAGCCCAGAGCUCAACUCUGGAAUUGCCUUUUAGACUGCAUCGCUUGAAUCAUGGAGAGGUCAGUGGAAUUCCGAGUGUAGAGGUGAAAUUCGUAGAUAUUCGGAAGAACACCAGUGGCGA
Molecule: ribosomal RNA, 639 nt
Filed under: uncultured bacterium
Lineage: Bacteria
Description: bacterial SSU rRNA
Rfam family: Bacterial small subunit ribosomal RNA
Source: RNAcentral